This is a non-coding RNA of Ameiurus melas (black bullhead), 72 nucleotides long. The record is from the annotation of a GenBank genome assembly. NCBI's taxonomy places the organism in Eukaryota, Metazoa, Chordata, Actinopteri, Siluriformes, Ictaluridae.
UUUGUGAUGGACUAGUGGCUAGCACUUGGUGCUUUCACCGCUGAGGCCCGGGUUCGAUUCCUGGUCAGGGAG